CUGUUGUCUGCAGGCAGCAAGAAGAUUUCAUCGGAGGAAGAGACCUACUCGGACCUUUCGGUGCUCAUCUUCUACCACAACUUCAAGGGCAUUGAAUCCCAGUACCAGCCCUUUGCAGCGCUUGUGCAGGCUGCAAACGCCUCCGUGGCACAGGUACAUACUUGUCAAAAUUAAAAUCAAAGUCACAUCCAGAUUAGGAAUAGACGCAGGCAUCCCGUGAACCAUAACACUCCAUAUUCAAACAGGAAGGGUGUCAUAUAGCAAUAGCCAUUUUCAACCAUGUCUCACGCUAAGCGGAGGUUGGAGUCUGCAGGUCCUAUUUCGUGAAUAGAGUUCACUUGCACGCCUGGCUGUGCUGAGGAGCUGUGCUUCACAAACAUGCACCAGGUUCAAUUCAAAUUAGCAUCAGUUGUCUCAGACCAGGCUAUAGCACUUUCAGUGGAAGCUACCAGCAGGCCUCAUUGAAGCCUGUGUGAAACCUGCCCCUAAGCCUUUGAAAGUCAGGGGGCAAAAAUCUUCAUCCCCCUCUGUACAUGCCUGGUUGCAGGCUGUCACAGACGCAUUCUCAGCCUUCAACGCCUCGAUCACCCCUUACGUGACCACGACUAACGGAGCUGAGUCAUACGCCUCGUACGCUAACUUCACCAACGAGCAGCGCAACGCCAUCUCCAAGGCCUCCUACCAGGUAUACAUUCCAGAGCUGCAGAUUACCAUCUACUGAAGGAUACAAACAUGAAGUGGGCUCUGGGUAUCGCAGGCUAGUCUGUGCUGUGACAUUCUUUGACAGAUGCAUGUUAGUUAGGACGUCAGUGUGGUUGCCAUGCACCAGGGUAACCCUGAGUUAAAUCCAUACCUUUUCUUGUCAGCGCACAGAUCUGCAAAAAUUCCAAUGCUGCAUUGCGUAGUGAUGCCAGCUUGUAUGGCUGCCUGUACCCUAAGUAGCACAAUUGUCCUCGACCUGACAUCAUCCUGGGCACAGCCAAAAGCUCUGGUGAAUGUUUCGCACCUCCUGUGUUGCCUUCAGAAACUUUUGUCAGGUCUCAAGUAUCUGAUCUGCUUCUUUCCUGCUAGACAGAAGGCUGAAAGGCCUGUCAGCUGCAAGUUUUGAUUCAUGUUCCUGUGGCCUGAUAAAGCCCAGCAAAAAAGGACACACUCUCCUGCAUCUAGCCUUUCUCCCGUUUAUGCAGCAUUCCAAAAAUCCUGUGUUCCGCUGCGCAGACGGCUGAGGCGCUCACAGAGGCAGCGGCAGCGCUGGGGAUAGAGAAGAAGCCGGACGCAGAGGAGCGCGUGGGCGAGUGCCAGCCGCCCAUCAAGUUCAAUGGCACUGACCCUGUCAUCCUGCAGGGGGUGUCCUACUUCCAGUCACUCAUGCGCUACCAGGCAAGUGCCUCUUUCUUGUAUGUCAAAGGAUGUACGACAUGUACAUUUGAGAAG
Molecule: long non-coding RNA, 1434 nt
Filed under: Coccomyxa subellipsoidea
Lineage: Eukaryota; Viridiplantae; Chlorophyta; Trebouxiophyceae; Coccomyxaceae
Description: long non-coding RNA (CSUB_LNC000505)
Source: RNAcentral